GACGAACGCUGGCGGCGUGCUUAACACAUGCAAGUCGAACGGAGCGAAUGAAAGCUUGCUUUUAUGAGCUUAGUGGCAAACGGGUGAGUAACACGUAGACAACCUGCCGACAGGAUGGGGACAACAUUCCGAAAGGAAUGCUAAUACCGAAUGAAGCGGAGGAGAGGCAUCUCUCUUCCGUGAAAGAUGGCCUCUAUUUAUAAGCUAUCACCUGUCGAUGGGUCUGCGUCUGAUUAGCUGGUUGGUGAGGUAACGGCUCACCAAGGCGACGAUCAGUAGCCGGUCUGAGAGGAUGAACGGCCACAUUGGGACUGAGACACGGCCCAGACUCCUACGGGAGGCAGCAGUGGGGAAUCUUCCGCAAUGGGCGCAAGCCUGACGGAGCAACGCCGCGUGAGUGAAGAAGGUCUUCGGAUCGUAAAGCUCUGUUGACGGGGACGAACGUGCGAGAGGUGAAUAAACUCUUGCAAUGACGUACC
This 479-nucleotide ribosomal RNA is filed under the name Centipeda dianae. Its description in RNAcentral is "bacterial SSU rRNA". It matches the Rfam family "Bacterial small subunit ribosomal RNA", at positions 28 to 479 of the family's 1533-position model. Lineage: Bacteria; Bacillati; Bacillota; Negativicutes; Selenomonadales; Selenomonadaceae. The record is from RNAcentral.